RNAcentral lists this ribosomal RNA (468 nucleotides) under uncultured bacterium. RNAcentral's name for it is "partial 16S ribosomal RNA". It matches the Rfam family "Bacterial small subunit ribosomal RNA", at positions 28 to 507 of the family's 1533-position model. The record is from RNAcentral.
GACGAACGCUGGCGGCGUGCUUAACACAUGCAAGUCGAACGGAAAGGCCCUGCUUUUGUGGGGUGCUCGAGUGGCGAACGGGUGAGUAACACGUGAGUAACCUGCCCUUGACUUUGGGAUAACUUCAGGAAACUGGGGCUAAUACCGGAUAGGAGCUCCUGCUGCAUGGUGGGGGUUGGAAAGUUUCGGCGGUUGGGGAUGGACUCGCGGCUUAUCAGCUUGUUGGUGGGGUAGUGGCUUACCAAGGCUUUGACGGGUAGCCGGCCUGAGAGGGUGACCGGCCACAUUGGGACUGAGAUACGGCCAAGACUCCUACGGGAGGAAGCAGUGGGGACUAUUGCACAAUGGGCGGAAGCCUGAUGCAGCAACGCCGCGUGCGGGAUGACGGCCGUAGGGUUGUAACCCGCUUUCGCCUGUGACGAAGCGUGAGUGACGGUAAUGGGUAAAGAAGCACCGGCUAACUACGUG